AAUACCCGCUGAACUUAAGCAUAUCAAUAAGCCGGAAGAA
RNAcentral lists this ribosomal RNA (40 nucleotides) under Pyricularia oryzae. RNAcentral's name for it is "partial 28S ribosomal RNA". The record is from RNAcentral. Lineage: Eukaryota; Fungi; Ascomycota; Sordariomycetes; Magnaporthales; Pyriculariaceae.